This 234-nucleotide long non-coding RNA is filed under the name Lupinus angustifolius (narrow-leaved blue lupine). RNAcentral describes it as "long non-coding RNA (LANG_LNC000823)". Lineage: Eukaryota; Viridiplantae; Streptophyta; Magnoliopsida; Fabales; Fabaceae. The record is from RNAcentral.
GUCCCGUCAUUUCCUCUCUACUACUUCAUGGUCACAAUGCGAUGCAUUCUUAAUCAGAAGCAAAUGCAAAUGUAUUAAUCACACACAUGAUCGGCCCAUCCUUAAGCCAUCUCCCGGCAAGGAAUGCUUCUCGUGGGACCCGAUAGUACGUCAACCGUGCGUGCUCAAGGUAACAUCUCAAUCACAAUAACCCAUCACCGAAUACUCCUGGACGGUCACAUGACCAAGCCUCUU